Molecule: long non-coding RNA, 1638 nt
Organism: Aphis gossypii (cotton aphid)
Lineage: Eukaryota; Metazoa; Arthropoda; Insecta; Hemiptera; Aphididae
Exons: 5
Source: RefSeq, a predicted model, not a curated record
UACAGAGCCUGUUUAGCAGAUAAGUGAAUAAUAAAAAUGGAACAGAGAACAGACGUGACACGGAGGUAACGACGUAUGUGUAUGUGGCGUGACAGUCUCUUAUUUUCAAAAAUCGGAAUCUAUAUCAAAUAUUACACGAAAAAUUGUAAAAGAUAUUGGGGAUGAAGUGUAUUUGGAUUGCUCAACUAUAAAUAACCUAGAAGUCAAUGUUGUAUGGGUUAAGGUUGCAAAAGAUCAAAUUGAUGCAUCUAUUGUACUUUCGUCUAAAAGUACACUUAUUGUCGAUGAUCCAAGAGUGACAUUGAUAUCAGAAUUGAAGCAAGAUAGCAAUCGAUACAUUAUACAUAUUCAUAAUAUUCAGGAAAGUGAUACUAGUAUCUAUCGCUGUGAUGUGAUAACUGGGAUUAACGACAAAGUAUCUUACUACACCGAGUUAUUGGUGGAUAGAUCACCAUUUUUUAUGAUAACUCCACCAAAUCAUUAGUUGUAGUAGAAGGUCAAUCAGUGCAACUUGCAUGUUUUGCUGGUGGAUAUCCUACUCCAAGAGUUUUCUGGAGGAAACGUAAAAAUGCAAUUUUAUUUAUAGGUAACAUUUUGAAAUUUUCUGCUAUAAAAAAAGAACAUCGUGGAGAUUACUAGUGUAAAGCUGAAAAUAAUGUUGGGAAUGGUACCAGUCAUACAAUUUCCCUAGAAGUAGAAUUUGCUCCAGUUGUAACUGCUCUAGAAACUAGUGUGGGACAAGCUGUACUUUAUGACGCAUAUCUUGAAUGUCAUGUUGAGGCGAAUUCUCAACCAGCCAUCACUUGGAUAUAUAAUGGAGUAGAAUUAUCUAAUAAUCAACAUUACUUGUACGCUUUUAAUCAUUGUUAUUAAUGGAAUAAUAUUUAGAAACGCUGUUACCACAAUGCCCUCCUGCCUGUUAAGAUUAUUCGACAAUGCAAGCUGCUGUUUCGUUCUAGUUGUAGCUCUUUACCCGUAUCAUAUUUUAUACAUUCAAUUAUUAUUUCCCUGUCCAAAAACAACGUAUUAAUAAUGAAAUAAUAAAAUUCCAAAAUAACGUAAUAAUGAUUUCCCUUUAUAAUGAACAAUUAAAAUUAAAUUUAUAAUACAAUUUAAAAAGAUAUCAUUUUAUAUAACGUCUAAAUUAAAUAUAUGAUAAGCUUGUAAUGUAUUGUUUUAAUGUAUUUAUGUAAUUCAAUAUUAUUUAAAAAAUUAUGAAACUGAUUAAAUCAGUUGCAACGAAAAAUUGUUAGCCAAAAGCCUUUUAAGAUAUAAUAAUAAAACUAACAGAUCCAUUUUUUUUAGAAGUAUUGUUGCAAUACCACAAAAUUUCAAUCAUUACCAUUACUAUUUUUGAAUAAUAUCAAUUUAAAAUUUAAUAUAAGCUAUUUUAUUACUUUGAAAACAUAUUUAUUUAGCAUAGGUAAUUUAUAUUUAAAUUUUAAUUGAAAAGAGUGAAUCAUAAACUUGAUAACACUCAAUAUUCUGCUCAUAGUAAUCAAUUUAUACAAUUUUUCGAAUUUAUAAAUCUAUGCAAGAUUAUUGCACAAUUUAUUCUUUUACAGUAAAACCUCUUUAUAAUGGUCCCUAUUUUAGACAGAAUCCUUCUUAAAACAAAAAAUUGUUGGCCCCAACCGA